Molecule: ribosomal RNA, 332 nt
Filed under: uncultured bacterium
Lineage: Bacteria
Description: bacterial SSU rRNA
Rfam family: Bacterial small subunit ribosomal RNA
Source: RNAcentral
CGUGUAGGCGGUCGGUCAAGUCCGGUGUGAAAGCCCGGGGCUCAGCUCCGGAAGUGCAUCGGAAACUAGCCGACUUGAGCGCGAUAGAGGAGGGUGGAAUUCCUGGUGUAGCGGUGAAAUGCGUAGAUAUCAGGAGGAACACCGGCGGCGAAGGCGGCCCUCUGGAUCGUUGCUGACGCUGAGACGCGAAAGCGUGGGGAGCAAACAGGAUUAGAUACCCUGGUAGUCCACGCUGUAAACGAUGGGUACUAGGUGUUCGGGGUGUUGACCCCCUGAGUGCCGACGCUAACGCAUUAAGUACCCCGCCUGGGGACUACGGCCGCAAGGCUAAA